CCUUUGAAGACAAAGACAGGGAUUUGUUUGCUGCAGGAUGGUAACCAGGAGCCUUUCAAAGUGCAACUGCACUUAGCCAAAGAUAUUUUGAUGAUCCAGGAGCAGGAUGUGAUCUGUGUGUCUGGUGAGCCUUUCUAUUCUGGUGAAAGAACAGUAACAAUUAGAAGACAGACUGUCGGAGGUUUUGGAUUAAGUAUAAAGGGUGGAGCAGAACAUAAUAUUCCAGUGGUCAUUUCUAAGAUUUCCAAAGAACAAAGAGCGGAACUUUCAGGCUUGCUCUUUAUAGGAGAUGCAAUACUACA
Pterocles gutturalis (yellow-throated sandgrouse) is the source of this 302-nucleotide long non-coding RNA. RefSeq lists it as uncharacterized. The record is from RefSeq and is a predicted model, not a curated record. Lineage: Eukaryota; Metazoa; Chordata; Aves; Pterocliformes; Pteroclidae. The transcript is spliced from 4 exons.